RNAcentral lists this ribosomal RNA (449 nucleotides) under uncultured bacterium. RNAcentral's name for it is "partial 16S ribosomal RNA". It matches the Rfam family "Bacterial small subunit ribosomal RNA", at positions 29 to 523 of the family's 1533-position model. The record is from RNAcentral.
AAUGAACGCUGGCGGCAGGCCUAACACAUGCAAGUCGAACGGAUCCUUCGGGAUUAGUGGCGGACGGGUGAGUAACGCGUGGGAACAUACCCAAAGGUACGGAAUAGCCUCGGGAAACUGGGAGUAAUACCGUAUGUGCUCGAAAGAGGAAAGAUUUAUCGCCUUUGGAUUGGCCCGCGUUGGAUUAGGUAGUUGGUGGGGUAAUGGCCUACCAAGCCGACGAUCCAUAGCUGGUUUGAGAGGAUGAUCGGCCACACUGGGACUGAGACACGGCCCGGACUCCUACGGGAGGCAGCAGUGGGGAAUCUUAGACAAUGGGGGAAACCCUGAUCUAGCCAUGCCGCGUGAUCGAUGGAGGCCUUAGGGUUGUAAAGAUCUUUCAGGUGGGAAGAUAAUGACUGUACCACCAGAAGAAGCCCCGGCUAACUCCGUGCCAGCCGCCGCAGUAA